CAGUGUUUUAAAAAAUGGGAAUAUCAUAAUACUAUACAGAUUUUUCUCUUCCUUAUAUCGGCACAGGACGUCUGUCACUUCAGCAGUAUACAAACUAUUUAUAUCCAGAUAUUUCAGAAUGAAUUUUUGCUUUUAAAAUCACAGGCACAUUUUAGGCGCCCGACAUUAUUUUUGGAUAACAAACUCCUUCCUGCUCGUGCGUGGAUUCAUGGUCAAUUGUACUCUGUCAUCUUUGAACUUACUCUAAGAACCGUUAGCACUAGCCUUCUGUAGAGAACAGGGGUCACUUCCUCUCAUGAAGGAAAACAUCCACAUCCCAACUGAUCCUACUUAUUGAAGUUACAAACGACUCUCUGCUAAGCAAAAGCUGCAUUUUUAGAAGUAAACAUUACUCAACUUUUUUGAAGCCAACUAAAUAGAACUCUUGUCACUGUUAAACUGGCUCAACAGUUCUCACCUCAAUUCUUAAAAAUUAAAGUUUGAAGACAGAGACUUGAUACAAAUGUCAAGAAAUUAUCCUUCUCUAACUGUGACUGUUUAUGUGCUAACUUUAUUGUUGCAUAUGUCAAGAUACUUUCAUUUUGUAAGAUUCCAACAACGGAAGCUAGAAUGGGCUCUCCGUGGACACCCAAGUGAAAAAAGAAGUCCAAGAACAGGGAGAGUGGGACGACCUGAGAUCCUUGGAGGGGAGGCUCAGUCAGUCACUGGGCUCGAUAAAACCUGGCACCUCUGUUCUGCAGAUGGUUGGAGAAUAGAGAUGCAACCAAGACAGCAGGACCUCCGGUGACAGCCUGGGACCUAAACCAGAAGAGUCAUCUGUCUUGCUCUAGGGGUCGACAGAAAAGUGCAGGAACAUGAAAGCUUUCUGUGGAAAGAUAAUGAAUGAGUUAAGACAGAGUUUCUUCGGAGAGGAAAUGAAAAUAGUGAUAACACCCAGAGCUAACCUCCAAGUACACCUGGGGCAGAAGUUCGAAGGUAGAACUGUGUUACAGAGCUAAGAGGAUACAUGUAAAGUGACACAUGGCUCUGGAGGAACAGCCAGCCUGUCCAAGCGUGGUUUGCGCCCACUGCCCGGAAGAGUGUAAGAGCUGACAGCUCUUUAUUACCUUCUGGUCACUUCAGUCAGCUUCUUUCUACAGUUCUGCCCUCUUCCAUAUCACUAUUUCUUCCAUGUAUUGUACACCCUUACUUCCUUGUGCACAUCACAGUAAGACUCAAUAAAUUACUUACACAACUGUCUGUCCUACUAUGAGCUCCUUGGUAGCAGAGAACAAGUCCUUAUUUAAAUAUAUUCAACUUAAUAAACAAAGCUUACUUCAAUUUUUAAAUCUUUCAUCACCAACAUCAUCACCAUCAAUGUCAGCCGCCACUAACUUUAUUUAAACUUCACUUGAGGAACAAUAGCUAUGAUAAUGGACAUACAGAUCUAAGAGUAUAACCUUUAUUACAAAUCCCAGUUUAUCCCCUAAUGAGAUUUUUUUUUUUAUUUCAUAAGCUAAAUAUCAACAAGUAGUUCCUUCACAACAUAGAGGCUAAGGAUUUAUUUCCCAAAGGCAGAAUUUCCAAAGACAAAAUGACUUUUAUGAAUUUCUGUGGAUGGCUUGCAAAUUUCUUCUGAGUUUACUCUUAAGAGAGUGACUUGCACACACUCAAUGAAGUACAGUGCUCUAAAAACCAAAAUAAAGACGGCAAAAAAAAUCAGCCUGCUUCAUUUUAAGGUCACAAUGAAUAUUAUUAUUUAUAUCAAACUGAGCUAAUACAUAGUGUAAACAGGUACUGUUUACCAAGAUCUCUCCACUCCUCUGGAUAACACGUACAACUGAAAAUGCAUGAUUUGAACAAAAUAGCUGGAAAUACACUCAAAAGUGAUUACCUCCAAAAUAGGAAAAUAAAUGUGCUCAUUUUAUGUUGUAAAAAUAUGGUGAAUUGGAGGAGAGAAAUUAGACCCAUCUCUUCCUAUACCGGUCAUCUUUUCCAUCAUGAAAAAUACACUUCAGCAUUUUGUACCUCAGUGACUGAUGAGCUUGCUUGAAUGAAUCCUUACCAACAGGUAAAAUAUCAUUUCGAUUACUUUGUGCCAUUUCAAAACCGAGGUGACUCACUCAGUAAUGAGAUAGAGUAAAAAGCAGUUGUUUUUAGUGGGUUUUUCCUGGGCUGGGAAUCAUUUUAAUUUACUUGUCCCAGAUGCCACAUUUCAUCUAGUUGGUAUUCCCUCCGUUCCUGGGUCUGUUCUCCCCUUACUCAAUAAAUAUGGAAAUCUAUUUCUCGUCCAGUUUGAACAUUGUAAUUUUUAUAGCAGUUUUACUCUUUCUGACAAGCAUAUUUCCACUCUCCUUUCGGUCCCGGAGAAUGUGAAGAAAUGCACUCUUUCCUGAAAAUGCUUUGCAUUUGUAAAACGUAUUUCAGGAUUCAAAUUUCCUACACGUGUUGUUUAAUUAGUAUUUACCACAAAGGCCUCACAAUGUUCUCCCACGCAAGGAAGCUAAGGCAGAGAUUCAGAGUAUGGAGUGACUGGGCCUGGUCCGGCUGGGGCCAAGUCCAAUUUCAAGGGUCUCAUUUCUGAGGAGCAUCAAACCCUGUCUCAGAAUCAUCAAGGUUCCAGUCCUGCACACAGAUUAGAUUAUAACCAUUUGCUUUUCUUUAAGUCCUUUCUGGAAAAAGACAGGUUAUUACAAAGAAGCAAAUAAGUAGCCAAGUAAUUUAAUAAUGAAGGAAAAAACAAAUUAGGUCAAUGCCCCUUUCCUCUGACUUUAAUCCACUUCUUGGUGUCCUUGAAUACUGGACAGUCUCGUUUUCCUGUACCUUGAUAUUUUGGAUACUUCUUGUAUUGAACUAUAUCACUGAGCCCUACUUGAGAAAAACACGAUAUGAAAAAUACUUAUUUUUAUAAGCAGAUUACAGUUACACUUAUCCCCAUUAGAAAACUAUUCUUUGUUUAAUAAAAACAACCACAAUGAAAUAGUCAUACCAAGUUCUUUUGAAAAGACCCUGACAGUUGAGUUUCAGUUGAUGAGGUGUUUGGGUUUGCUGCAAUUAGCUGAAGGCUUAGCCAGUUAGGCAGUGACUGUCCCUAUGGUCCCCUCCUUGAGCCUCCUCAACAGAGACCUGACUCUAGAGUGGUCUUUCAGACUCGCAUAGCUGUGGUGGCGAAUUCCUGCCGAAGUAUUUUUAGAAACGCACCGCUAUAUGAAACACACAUCUUCAGUCCAGUAACCAGACCAGACAGACUGACCCCUCUGUCAGCACCCUCUGAAAGAAGCCUUAUAAAAAUACAAAGGUAAGACUAUCUCCAAUGCAAAAUAAGCCUGAAGGAGACACAGCCUUCACCCCCAAACGUUCACAGUAGAUAGCUGAGAGCUGCAGGAAUCCAUGAGAAAAGGUAGGUCUUUAUAAGCAGACUUGAUGAGAAUUAUAACAAGUAGAUGGCUGCUUUGAAAGUUAUUGUCGAGAUGUGAGCAGCUCAGAGAGUAGAAACAAGCAAGACUAAAGCCAGGAUAGAGACCAGUGGAUUAAGACAUGAAUCAAUAGUUUGGUUGAACAACCUUUGGACCAAAUUUAAGUAUGUUUUUGCCUGGGGACUAGGACUUUGAUGAAGUCUUCCACUUCUGAAGACUUCUGCUAGGCCUCAAGGCUCCAGAGCCACAGAUCCCCAUGCCAUCCAACUGGAACAACUAUAUUCACCAGCCUGCCAAGCACUGAAGGACAUCAGGGUCGAUGAAUUACUUAUUCCCCUGUUCCGCUCAAGAAUUGUGUUUGCAGAUCAUUAUUUGGCAAGAUCUUACAGAGCAUGUAGAGUAUUUUAAAACUAAAGGUUUGGAGUCACAGCCAACAGAUAAUCAAACUAAUAGUUUACUAGUAACUUCUUACUUUUGACCCUGCAUAAAGUAUAUAUUUAAAAUACACAAAUUAUUUAUAACAGUAUUAUAAAUUUGGAAAUCACUUAUUCUUAGGUCAUUAGUAUUAUAUAAAUGCUCAGACUUUAAUAUCAGAUAUAUUUUGGUCAUAAUAUCAGAUAAUCAAUGGUGAACAUAUACAAAAUAAUUAAUUUAAUAUGAGGAAGAGAAUUAGACUUGACUCAAUAAAAAUAUAUGGUAAGAUUUGAAAAAUGUUUUAGUUAUUAAUCAGCAGCAGCCUAACAGGCGUAUCUGGUUCCCAAACAAUAAUUAGGAGCAUAUCAUCAAAAUUCACUGCCUACAAAGAUUCUAACUGAAUAGUCAGUUCAGAAAGUUGUCCUAUUUUGAACAUGAAAGGUGAAAGUUUGAACUUGAUCUCAAACAGCAGGAUAGUCUGAAUGCAAAAAAUUUGGUGAUUUUCCUAAAUUCUCUGCAUCCUUCCAGCAGAGUGCACUCCAAAAUCGCCAGUUACUAAUUCAUUUUAUUAAUUCAGUUCAAUCUGCUGCUUCCUGGAGCUACCAAAUGUUUUCUUUGGCAUCAUGUUUAUAAUCAAAAUGUUUGCUUUAAAAUUAAAAUAGUUUUGGUGACAUGUGUUUCCGAGAGCAGCUGAACCUUCUCAAUAAGUGAAACAGAACUAAAUUCAAAUUGGUAUAAAUUUCUGCAUCUCACUGGUAAUCAUUAGCAUAAAGGGAGAACAAAAUAUUCUUACUUUUGAGAAUCUAGAGUCAUGAUCGAAAAUAACUGAUUUAAAGACAAUACAAGUGGACAGUUCAUUAAACAUGAACCCGGUGAAGAAGUCAAUAAACCAAUGAAAGCUGAAUUCUCCGCUCUUUGGAACAUCAGUAAAUAAUUUCAGGAAGGGGUAAGAAAUUAAAGCACUAUGACCAGAAAUAGGAAGUGAAGUUCCCGCAUGUACAGAAAGUCAGAAGAGGAAAAAAACAAAGAAACUAAAAGAUAAAGUCAACAAAAUUUCCGAAAACUAAAAAACAGGAGUUGAAAGCGCUGUCGAGAGUAUUGUAGAAAUACUGUAGACCCUGAAGAGGAAAGAAAAAAUGAUGUGGAAUUGUGGGAUCUGUGACUAUCUAGGACAUAUUUUUAGACAAAUUAAAAAAUAAACAUGUUCAGAUUUGAUCACUUUAAGAAUGCAGGAAGAGGGGACACCUUUGAAAAAAAGAUUCAUGGGUUUCUACAGCAGGACUAUCUGUCUAUGGGGGGCAAAGAAAGGCAGAGCAAAUCACUGAAGGCUGGCGCAUCAUAGACAUAAUGGUGUGGUGAUAUAUUUUUUUAGAAAGAGGUAUGGGGAGCUAUCAAGUCAGAUUCACAGUGUGACUCUGGAGGAUUUCUAGAGAAAAUUAGAUGUAUUAACUUGAAUGAGUUUCUAUCACGUCAUGAGUGAAAGAAGAGAUAGCCAAGCCAUUUUGUAAGAUGCAUGUAGGAACUUACAUAGUAGACACAAGAGGGGCUGGAUUUGGUUAUUAAAAUUCAGAUUUAAAACUUAAAAUAAUGUGAAGGUAUUUGUCUUUGGAAUUCUGCAAGCACAGAAAUCAAGAUAAGAAGACCAAGGGAAAUUAAGAAUCUGGAUAUUUAGUUAAAGUACUAAAUUGUUUAUAAACAAUUUUAACACAAUUUCCUACCCUUUCAAAAUAUGUCAUGUCUUUACAAGAGGAAGAAUUUGAUCUGAAAAGAUCUACCAUAUACGGCGUAAAAGAGUAGGAAAUCCUUUGGAAAAAAAUGAAAAGAAUGUAUGUGUAUACUCAGUUCUUACAGAUAAUAGCUGAGAGGGUUAUAAAAUAAAGCUAAAUCAAAUUGAUUGGCAGCAAGGGAAAAGUGAUAUUAAAGAGAAAGUGAUAAGAGAGGAAACUCAUGUCUAUGGUGAUACACUCUAGAAAUAAUAAAGUAAUUAUAGUGAAGACACUAUGGGAAUACCCAGCAUGUACAAAGGAGAUGCUAGAGGCUACAUGAAUAUUAUUUAAAGUUCAUUGGAAAAAAUGAGCUGGAUGCUAUAGAAAAAUGCAAUUAGAUAUUGUCCUAUCUGCUGGAUUUAUAACUGAGCCAGAGUUUUUCAUUAUAAAUAUCUUUUAGACCAACCAAAUAGUAACAGAAUUUACUUGUUUAGAUAUAGCACUCAGUUCAGCUGGAGUGCUUAUUAGUGGAAUGCUAAUUCUACUAUGGUCUGUAUAAUUAACUUAAUUCUAAUUAUUUAGCAUUGUUACGUAGUAGGUAACUUGCCCGAAAUCAAUAUUGCCUCGACUCUCAGUAUAGCUGUAUAUAGAAAUUGAAAGUUAAAAACUUCUUUAAAAUUUGACAGUUAUAUAGUGAUAUGACAUCAGUAAUCAGAAGUACACACACACACACACACACACAUUGAAGAAGCCAAAACUCCACUGCAAAGGAAAUUUUUUUUGUGUCAUAGUAAAAAUUCAGGACACUGAGGAAAAUACUGAAAGAAUUCAAGAAAUUAAAUUCCAACCAGGCAAUUCAAUUGUGAAAUUUAAAAGUGCUUUCUUAUCUUAUUUGGGUGUGCCUUUAUCUGUCUUCCCACUAAUCUAUCUAGAUUCUUUAAACUAGAAGGAGAAUAUGGACUUGUAAUAGAAUUAUGAGAGCAAGCUUAGCACAACUGGUAAUUAUUGUAGUCCCUGCCACAAUAGCAAUCUCUAUCACAGUCUCCAGGCAGAAGUGAGUCAACUAAACAUCUGCAAGAAUUUAAAUCACUCUUUAUCUGCCUCAAUUCAUUCACCUCCCACGUGACAUAAAGUACUUGCCCAGGUUCCUUGUGUUUAGACUGAGUAUAUCAAGGUUACAGCCUUUCAGAUGUAGACUAUGAUGCUCACACAUCAAAGAAGCAGCAAGAGCUACCUGACAGUACCUGUCUUUGCUCUUUUAAUUCUAUACCAAUAGUUUUCUUGACUUAAAUAAUGCUAAAUAGUUGUGGUUCAAUUGCCCUUACUUCUACCUAAUGCGUACUUCCCACCUCCAUCUUGAAAAAUUGCACUCAGAAACAGGCAAAUAGCCAAUGAUGGGAAAAGUUACUCUACAACUCACUGCAGUCACUCAUCAGUUCUGAUGGGACCUGAAUCGACAGGACAGAACAAAAUUGCCACCACGAUACUUUGUGCCUUAUCAGUUAUGUGAGCAUAUAAGGAUGCAAAUAAGUUGCAAUUGUGAGUUUUAAUGACUUGAGUUUGAAGACAAAAAUAAGGACCUCUAGAGAUACAGGUCUGUUAGCAGAACAAAGCAAAGAAAAACUAAAAGGUACCAUUCUUCUGAGUAACUUUGGUCUGUUUUUCAUGAAAUUUUUAUCAUGUUCAAGAAGUAGGAAAGAGAUACAAGGUCAGUCAGAUGACAAAAUGAUACAGAUUGCAUUGUUAGUUGUAAACACAUACACACACAGAUCCCUAACUAAGAGACCAGGAAAAAUAAGUGAGAAAAUACUCAUAGCAGAAUUAUGUCUUAUGAAUAAGUGGGCUAUGGCAACUUUCCGUUUCUCAAUGAAAAUAUCUCUCCAUUGUCAAGAUGAACCCUGUCAAUGGUACAACUUAAAAUACUGAAAUAUUUUACUUAAAAAUGCAGACAUAUAAUAAAAUGAAACACCAAUAUUUUAAAAUAUACUUUAACCAUUUAAUAUGCAUAUGAUAGUACCAGGUGAAUAAAAAUUAUAGUGCUUUUCUUUUGUUUUAUAAGUAAAAAGACAAUAAAUGGGCAAUAACAUAAAUAUUAUGAAAUAGUCUUUCUUACUAGGAAUAAAUCAAUCAUUAACAUUAAGCAGUUUUGUGGCAAAAUGAAUGCACUAUAAAUUCAAGUCAAGUAAGGCCAUUUCUCGAUGUUCUUAAAUUGUCAGAAAAUGUGUCUCCGAUGAAUGAAAAGGGAUAUAUACAUGUCUAUAAUGAUACAUAGAUGUCUAUAAACACUGGCAAGGAAAAUUUCAUUUCCUUACAUUUAAGCCCAUAUUUCCAAAUGUUUAGCUUGAGGUUUCUGAGCUAAUUAUAUUUUGAUAAAACUGACCUUUGGUUUCAUCCUCUUUCAAAAAUCAAUGGUUUUGAUUCAUUUUAAAUAAACCAAAAUCAAACCAAUCUUCAAAAUAUUUUUAUACAAUUACACUUCUUCACAAAAAUAGUUGCGCUGCUAGUUACUAGGUAACAAAAAAUUAUUCUAUUAUUUCAAUAUUUUUUACAAAUAACAACUUGCAUGUUUAUUAUUUUCAGUGCCCUUUUUUUCAAUUUGGUUACUAUAUGUAUUUAUAAGUGAUAUUCAUUGAAAUGUUUUCUUUCUAAGAUCUAGUUCAAGAAAAUAGUGUGCCAUCAUGACUUGCCAACUCUGAAGUUCUUUACAUCCUGCUGCACUCUGCUCUCACCUGAAGCCUGGUCUAUUUCCAAAGACCUAUUAGCUAGGGGAUUUUAAUGAGUGACAUAAGGAAGCGGGGGCUUUCCGUCUCUACGGAAGUUCAGAAUCCAUGACGAUUAUGGAAAAGUACAACACAAUAUUUUUUUCAAUAGUGAAAGCCAGAAAAGAGAUAGAAUAAAAAGAAUGAAUAAAAUGUUCGGGUUUUCGGAUGUUAAAUGAUUGAAACAGUUUCUAUUUAAAUGCAAAUUUGACUUUUUAAAAGAUGGGACUACCAGUAACUGUACCCUAAAUGGUAAAAUGAAAAUCAAUUUGAAAUAUGGGAUGAAUAAAGUAUAUGUGGACUUUCUGGGAAUAAUUUUUUAUUAUGAAAACCCUGAUGCAUUUUCCUUUGCUCAAUCCAUCUUAGACUUUGGACAGCUAUGCCCAGGAUGAAAUGCAAACAUUUUUAAUUUGUUUAAGCACAAACAUGGUCAGCUCACUAGAAGCUUCCUUGUUCAUUCAAGUCAGAUCUCACAAAAUAAUGAUCAACAGAAUGAUGUAUAUAAAAUACAAGACCAAAAUAAGAGUUUAACUGAAGCAUUAUAAUGACCAAUAGUCACUAUGUGUUUUUUAUUAUGUUGGGGAAGUCACUUUUAAGAAAUGGAAAUCACUACAUUCUAUUGAUUCAAGAACAGAAUCUUCAGACAUAAGUCAGCAGAGUUGACACUUUCAAAUACAUAAAAUGUGACAUCUGCUCUUACAAAUGUACUAUACAGGCUGUAAAUCAUCAAAGAGAAAAACAGUUCAAUGUCAUUUCAGCCACUGUAAGCUAUGGUUUACAACUGAGAGAUAAAAAUAGUCAUACUGUCUCUGUGACAUCUAAACCACUUUUCUAUCGCAGUAGUCCAUGUUCUAAUUUAUCUUUGUGGUUGAAUAACACAUAAUCAAUUGUAAGCAACUAGUGUAGUUUGAUUCCAGUCAACUGCAAUUUUCUAUAGCUUUAUCUUUUGCCCCACUGAGGUGACUUUUAGUAAUGCCCACAACACACCAUCUCAAUCUUUGUGGUUGCUUAAGUAUAUCAAGCUUCUAGCCAUCAUUUUAAGGGCUAACAUAUGGCACUAAUCCAUACAUGAAAUAUAUUUUAAAUAAAGUAGAGACAUUUACACUUGUAAGCAUUAUAAUAACUAAAGACCUAUAUUCCACUAGAAAAAGAAGUUUUCAUUAGACUUAAAAUAAGACCAGAAAGAGCAUGGUCUUUGUGUAAGAUUCCUGGUUCCACCACUUAUGAACUAUGAAAAUUCAAGCAAAUUAUUUAACCUGUAUGGUAAUCAGAUAACUUAUCUGAAAAAUGGGAUAAAAAUUCCUAUCUUUUAAGGGUAGUUUUAAAGAUUAAGUGAGACAACGUAAAUACCUAAUACAGUGCUUGACUCUAGACAACAUUUUAAAUAGUGACUAUUAUUGUUAAUGUUAGGUUAUUUUUUAUUAUUAUCAUUGUUGGCAUAAUAAAAUAGAACUUUUUUUGGAGUAAGUAGAAAUAUUUGUUCACUUAUUCCAGCAUGGAAAUAAACCCAACAUAGUAGGCUACAGCUGGAAUAUGUGUGAUUAUGUUUUGCAAAUAAUGCUAAUAUUUAAAUAUUUUUGGAAAUUCAUUUUGUGUAAUCUUAAUGUGAAAAUAUCAUUAUCAACAUGGUUUUUAAAAAUUCUACAAUGAAAAUGAUUACAGCAAGUAUUAAAACUGAGGUCUCAUUUGUUUAAACAUAUUGAAUAGAGGUAAAAAGGUCAAGUAAUACUUUCUAUAAAUUAAUAACAAUUGCUGGCAAAUGGGAUCCUAGACAUGUUAAUGGGGAUUUUUAACAUAUUUUUUCCAUUUGUUAAAUAAUUACAUAUUAGCAUCAUAGAAAAGUUAGAAUUAUCACAAUAAAAUAUUUUCCAGUAGAAUUCGCUAUAUAAAUAGCCACUAGUCAUCAAAUUUCUACUCUUUUUUUUUUGCUUUAAUGAGCAUAAAACAAUGAGGUAAGGCCUGCUAAUCAAGUUGGUUUCUGGUAUGACAGAGACCUGUUCACUAACAACCUUCUUGGAAUUGAGACGCAGCGUCUUUUAUUUUUCUCCGUGGUUCUGCCAUGAAGCUCAAAGCCCAACCUCCCGGUACCCACAGCCCCUUGGCUGGUGUUGAAAGAGAACUGCUGCCCCGAGCAAAUUUAAAGCCAUUCUUCUAGAAGUUCUGAUGCAUUUUCUUUCUCAAAUCUCUUUAUUAAUAAAGCAGCACACUGCAGGGUCUGCACUCAUCAGACCAGUACAGGCACAGCCUUUGGCUACCCUCCAUGCCUCAGUCUGCCAAUUGUGCAUUGAGUCUUCGUCUAAGGCACUCCCUGUCAUGUGCUCGCUUACAGAGACAUUUUGCAUGGAUUCCAGAUCUUCUCAUGUUCGAAUGAACACAGCAACGCAUUUCACUUUCAUUUGUCAGAAGACAAAUGUUCUCUGAACAUUCAUGUUUUGGAUUCAUUGUCUCUGUGCUCCUUUUAUUUAGUAAAAGAAAGCAUUUUACAUUUAACAUCUAAGCCCCUGGUCUUUGCACACAUGUGAGGGAACAUACGCUGUGAGAUUCCUGAGAAAGAACAAAAGACAUGGUUUCCGAAAAGCUGUGAUGUUGCUCACUAACUCUCUAGGUCCCACCACUGGCUUUUAAAGUAAUCUUACGCCCUGAUGGAUUUACUUUCUCUUUUGGAAAUAACUGCUGUGCUACGGUGACAGAUGUUUUCAUUGGAAGAAGGAAGAUGGGGUGGGGGGAGAAUAAGUUGUAAUUAGGUAUAUGCUUAUAUCUUUUUGAUCUGAGUCCUGUAAUUCCAUCCUCAUUGUCUAGAUAAACUAGAUUGUAAGCUUACCAAGGACAGGUGUCACUUCCUUUCUGUACUUUACAUUUCUCCCAAAGGACCUACACUAUAUAUUUCACCCUCUAGUAACAUUCAUUAAAUAUUGACUUAAUGCCAACAAACCCUCCUUUAAACAUAAUAUUUAACUUUGGCCUUAUGUACAGUACCGGCCUUUAAUUCUUGAAAAUAAAUGUGAUCUCUUUGUGCACAAAUCUCCAGACCCCAAAAAAUAACUCUUGGAGAAAAGAAAAUUGCAGUUAAAUGCAGGUAUUUUAGUUGUGUCUUCUAAUGCUGAAGUUCCAGUUCCCCGAUGAAGCCUCCUUCCCAACUCUAGAAUGCACAGAUUUCUUUCUUUUCUUAACUUCCAUUGGGAAUAACGCUGAGUACAGAUAGGCAUGGACGUAGUACAUACUUACUGAUGGAUUGAAUCACGUUGGAUUCGGACAGCAAAAUCCUGGGCUACAAAGGUUCAGAGACGCUAGGAGUCCCUUAGCACACCAGCCUGAGCCCGACAGUAGGGCCUCUGCCAGCCCCUGGCAUUCUCCCAGUGCCCACAAAACAAACCACUACUUCUCAGAUGUCCUCAGAGCUGUCAGUAAUCGCCACUGCUCUGCUGGAAAGUAUGGAAUUGUCAUAAUUUUUUUUUCAAUUAUGCAACCUUUUUUAUUAUAUUGUCAUUUGACACAGUUCAAGGAAAUUCUUCUUUCUUGAAAAAUUAAUCUGCUGGGAAUAUGUCUAAAAUUGGUAGAAAGAAGAGAAAUGGCACUUAUAAACAGCAGUAGCUGAACUUUUCAGUAGAAGACAAUAUGUGUAACCUUGUACGCAGGGCAUGGCAGCUGUACACCGGUUCUCAGGGUUUAAGGACAGUACACUUAAAAGUGUAAACUGAGGACCUAUGUUCAGAGAAAACAUGAAGGGAUCUGAAAUGUUCAGUUGGGGAUAGAAAUCAAUGAACAGAAUUUAAAUAAUGAUAUCUGAUUAAUGUGCCUUGUUAACUACCAAACCACAGUUGCAGAAGGAAGGAAAUCUAUUGUUGAAUGAACAAUAGAACCUCCUCCAAUUCUUUCUGGAAGACUGUGGGGUAAUAUCAAAAAACAAAUAAGUAAAUAAAUAAAAGUAGCCUUGGUAUUUUGGGGGAAACUUGAUUAAUCAUUCUUUCCACGAAAUUAUAUCAUAUGCUGACGUUAUUUAAAUAUUUUCUGAAGAUAUUAAACUACAUAGGUUAUAAUCAUGCUGACGUAUGGGAUAAUUGAGUUUUGGGAAGUUUGUCUAAGAAGUGGAAGGUUCUCAGCUAUGGCACUGAUAACCUAAUUGAGGAAAAGAUUUCCUUCUUAAGAAGACCCUAGCUACUUUCAAAUUUGGCAUGACUAUGUUUCCAUGCACUUAUCUUUUACCUGCUUUAUUUCCAGUCCAUUUAAAUUUGAACUCAACGACUGUUUAAACUUUCAAAAUACAGAAAGUAUAUUACACAUUUUUUUCAUUUUUAUACAUUAAAAUUAUUUCUUUUUACUCUCAUCGGUUUCUUUCAACAAAUGAAAACAGCUUUAAUUGGAGUGAUUUCCAUUUUCCUCAGGUCAAUUGGUAAAGAAGCUGGUUAAACUAUCUGUGCUUUUGUUUGAAUGAGAGGACAAUGCUGUAGCCAGAUUUACAAGUUAUCUUAAUUACCCACAUUUUGAAACUAAUUUAGCGGUAGAAUGAAAUAUCUUAAAGAAAUUGUACAGGUUUAAAUUGCUGCCUGUGUGACAAGAUUAUUAGCAGAUAAAUAAGAAACAGUGGGAGUUCUCUUGAAUGUACCUACCUUUCAAUAAAAGAAAAAAAUCUGUGCUCACUCAAACCCUGUCAUGUCACAGGGUCUGGGGGACUGCUUACCUGUUCUUAUCUGUCAGGCCUGCCCUGAGCCUUGAAGGACAGGCAGCCCAUGGGGAAGCCAUGUCUAGAUUGCUGCUCUUUCAUCUGAAGGCAGAUCCUUCUACACAGAAACAUAUUUCCCUUGACUAAGAGUCACUGCUCUAGAAGUCGCAUGAGAUUUAAUGACCCAUCAUAAGUCCGGCAGAGUUCAAUGGGAAUGACACAUUCCCAGAGAAGUCUUUCAAUGUGGUGGCCUCCUCAAUGGCAGCAAAAUUUCUCAUGGUGGC
Molecule: non-coding RNA, 13218 nt
Organism: Equus caballus (horse)
Lineage: Eukaryota; Metazoa; Chordata; Mammalia; Perissodactyla; Equidae
Source: RefSeq, a predicted model, not a curated record